Molecule: ribosomal RNA, 433 nt
Filed under: uncultured bacterium
Lineage: Bacteria
Description: partial 16S ribosomal RNA
Rfam family: Bacterial small subunit ribosomal RNA
Source: RNAcentral
AACGAACGCUGGCGGCAUGCCUAACACAUUCAAGUCGAACGAGACCUUCGGGUCUAGUGGCGCACGGGUGCGUAACGCGUGGGAACCUGCCCUUAGGUUCGGAAUAACUCCCCGAAAGGGGUGCUAAUACCGGAUAAUGUCUUCGGACCAAAGAUUUAUCGCCUUUGGAUGGGCCCGCGUUGGAUUAGCUAGUUUGUAGGGUAAAAGCCUACCAAGGCGACGAUCCAUAGCUGGUCUGAGAGGAUGAUCAGCCACACUGGGACUGAGACACGGCCCAGACUCCUACGGGAGGCAGCAGUGGGGAAUAUUGGACAAUGGGCGAAAGCCUGAUCCAGCAAUGCCGCGUGAGUGAUGAAGGCCUUAGGGUUGUAAAGCUCUUUUACCCGGGAUGAUAAUGACAGUACCGGGAGAAUAAGCUCCGGCUAACUCCGUG